UACGAAGGGGGCUAGCGUUGUUCGGAUUUACUGGGCGUAAAGCGCACGUAGGCGGAUCGUUAAGUCAGGGGUGAAAUCCUGGGGCUCAACCCCAGAACUGCCUUUGAUACUGGCGAUCUCGAGUCCGGAAGAGGUGAGUGGAACUCCUAGUGUAGAGGUGGAAUUCGUAGAUAUUAGGAAGAACACCAGUGGCGAAGGCGGCUCACUGGCCCGGUACUGACGCUGAGGCGCGAAAGCGUGGGGAUCAAACAGG
Molecule: ribosomal RNA, 253 nt
Filed under: uncultured bacterium
Lineage: Bacteria
Description: partial 16S ribosomal RNA
Rfam family: Bacterial small subunit ribosomal RNA
Source: RNAcentral